This 238-nucleotide ribosomal RNA is filed under the name Lanceola sp. 1 HR-2015. RNAcentral's name for it is "partial 16S ribosomal RNA". The record is from RNAcentral. Lineage: Eukaryota; Metazoa; Arthropoda; Malacostraca; Amphipoda; Lanceolidae.
CAUGUUCUGCGCCGAUACGAUUUUUUUAUUUCACCUCGAGGGCCACAUCUUACAUCAUGAAAAGCUCCCCAUUUAAAUUACGCCGCUAACCUCCCAGAAGCUACUACAUCUAAUCCUCAUAUUUUGAAGGUCUAAAUUAUAAUUUUUUAAAAAUUAUAUUUUUUAAAUCUCUACCCAACAACAAAUAAUAAAUAAAGCUUUUAGGGUCUUGUCGUCAAAUCAAGUAAAGCUUUUAGGG